This 1372-nucleotide ribosomal RNA is filed under the name uncultured bacterium. RNAcentral describes it as "bacterial SSU rRNA". It matches the Rfam family "Bacterial small subunit ribosomal RNA", at positions 28 to 1381 of the family's 1533-position model. The record is from RNAcentral.
GAUGAACGCCGGCGGCGUGCCUAAUACAUGCAAGUCGAGCGAACGGACGAGAAGCUUGCUUCUCUGAUGUUAGCGGCGGACGGGUGAGUAACACGUGGAUAACCUACCUAUAAGACUGGGAUAACUUCGGGAAACCGGAGCUAAUACCGGAUAAUAUUUUGAACCGCAUGGUUCAAAAGUGAAAGACGGUCUUGCUGUCACUUAUAGAUGGAUCCGCGCUGCAUUAGCUAGUUGGUAAGGUAACGGCUUACCAAGGCAACGAUGCAUAGCCGACCUGAGAGGGUGAUCGGCCACACUGGAACUGAGACACGGUCCAGACUCCUACGGGAGGCAGCAGUAGGGAAUCUUCCGCAAUGGGCGAAAGCCUGACGGAGCAACGCCGCGUGAGUGAUGAAGGUCUUCGGAUCGUAAAACUCUGUUAUUAGGGAAGAACAUAUGUGUAAGUAACUGUGCACAUCUUGACGGUACCUAAUCAGAAAGCCACGGCUAACUACGUGCCAGCAGCCGCGGUAAUACGUAGGUGGCAAGCGUUAUCCGGAAAUAUUGGGCGUAAAGCGCGCGUAGGCGGUUUUUUAAGUCUGAUGUGAAAGCCCACGGCUCAACCGUGGAGGGUCAUUGGAAACUGGAAAACUUGAGUGCAGAAGAGGAAAGUGGAAUUCCAUGUGUAGCGGUGAAAUGCGCAGAGAUAUGGAGGAACACCAGUGGCGAAGGCGACUUUCUGGUCUGUAACUGACGCUGAUGUGCGAAAGCGUGGGGAUCAAACAGGAUUAGAUACCCUGGUAGUCCACGCCGUAAACGAUGAGUGCUAAGUGUUAGGGGGUUUCCGCCCCUUAGUGCUGCAGCUAACGCAUUAAGCACUCCGCCUGGGGAGUACGACCGCAAGGUUGAAACUCAAAGGAAUUGACGGGGACCCGCACAAGCGGUGGAGCAUGUGGUUUAAUUCGAAGCAACGCGAAGAACCUUACCAAAUCUUGACAUCCUUUGACAACUCUAGAGAUAGAGCCUUCCCCUUCGGGGGACAAAGUGACAGGUGGUGCAUGGUUGUCGUCAGCUCGUGUCGUGAGAUGUUGGGUUAAGUCCCGCAACGAGCGCAACCCUUAAGCUUAGUUGCCAUCAUUAAGUUGGGCACUCUAAGUUGACUGCCGGUGACAAACCGGAGGAAGGUGGGGAUGACGUCAAAUCAUCAUGCCCCUUAUGAUUUGGGCUACACACGUGCUACAAUGGACAAUACAAAGGGCAGCGAAACCGCGAGGUCAAGCAAAUCCCAUAAAGUUGUUCUCAGUUCGGAUUGUAGUCUGCAACUCGACUACAUGAAGCUGGAAUCGCUAGUAAUCGUAGAUCAGCAUGCUACGGUGAAUACGUUCCCGGGUCU